UCCUCCUACAAAGGCGCACUUGCAUUGGUCUGCUUGCCUGUGCGUAAGAACUGGAGGUAAAUUAAAAUGAAUGGUGACUUACUUAUUGCUGGCUGCAUGUGCAGUUAGCCCUUCACCAAUC
Molecule: small nucleolar RNA, 121 nt
Filed under: Labrus bergylta (ballan wrasse)
Lineage: Eukaryota; Metazoa; Chordata; Actinopteri; Labriformes; Labridae
Description: Small nucleolar RNA SNORA38 (ENSLBEG00000026959.1)
Source: RNAcentral